GGCCUCACUGCCAUGAAGCUGGGGGGGAAGGGCCUAUCCCCCUCGGCAGGUCUAAAGGCCAAGAUCAAGCCUGGGAGGGUCAUCGUGGGGGUUGCCGCCAGUUGGGCAGCCUCGUUUUCCGACCUCGGACAUGU
This is a small nucleolar RNA of Erinaceus europaeus (western European hedgehog), 134 nucleotides long. NCBI's taxonomy places the organism in Eukaryota, Metazoa, Chordata, Mammalia, Eulipotyphla, Erinaceidae. The record is from Ensembl.